This 28-nucleotide small RNA is filed under the name Bombyx mori (domestic silkworm). Its description in RNAcentral is "ovarian small RNA-37571". The record is from RNAcentral. Lineage: Eukaryota; Metazoa; Arthropoda; Insecta; Lepidoptera; Bombycidae.
UUCUUGAGUUCCUUCCGGUGGUUAGUUC